This 497-nucleotide ribosomal RNA is filed under the name uncultured bacterium. RNAcentral describes it as "partial 16S ribosomal RNA". It matches the Rfam family "Bacterial small subunit ribosomal RNA", at positions 28 to 507 of the family's 1533-position model. The record is from RNAcentral.
GAUGAACGCUGGCGGCGUGCCUAAUACAUGCAAGUCGAGCGAACAGACGAUGAGCUUUCUCUUCUAACGGUGGCGGCGGGCGGGUGAGUAACACGUGCAUAACCUACCUAUAAGACUGGGAGAACUUCGUGAAACCGGUGCCAAUACCGGAUAAUAUAUUGAACCGCAUGGUUCAAUAGUGAAAGACGGUUUUCGUGUCAGUUAUAGAUGAAUCCGCGCUGGAUUAGCUAGUUGGUAAGGGAACGGCUUACCAAGGCAACGAUGCGUAGCCGGCAUGAGAGGGUGAUCAGCCACACUGGAACUGAGACACGGUCCAGACUCCUACGGGAGGCAGCAGUGGGGAAUAUUCCACAAUGGGCGAAAGCCUGACGGAGCAACGCCGCGUGGGUGAUGAAGGUCUUCGGAUCGUAAAACUCUGUUAUUAGGGAAGAACAAAUGUGUAAGUAACUCUGCACGUCUUGACGGUACCUAAUGAGAAAGCACCGGCUAACUACGUG